Molecule: ribosomal RNA, 468 nt
Filed under: uncultured bacterium
Lineage: Bacteria
Description: partial 16S ribosomal RNA
Rfam family: Bacterial small subunit ribosomal RNA
Source: RNAcentral
GACGUACGCUGGCGGCGUGCUUAACACAUGCAAGUCGAACGGAAAGGCCCUGCUUUUGUGGGGUGCUCGAGUGGCGAACGGGUGAGUAACACGUGAGUAACCUGCCCUUGACUUUGGGAUAACUUCAGGAAACUGGGGCUAAUACCGGAUAGGAGCUCCUGCUGCAUGGUGGGGGUUGGAAAGUUUCGGCGGUUGGGGAUGGACUCGCGGCUUAUCAGCUUGUUGGUGGGGUAGUGGCUUACCAAGGCUUUGACGGGUAGCCGGCCUGAGAGGGUGACCGGCCACAUUGGGACUGAGAUACGGCCCAGACUCCUACGGGAGGCAGCAGUGGGGAAUAUUGCACAAUGGGCGGAAGCCUGGUGCAGCAACGCCGCGUGCGGGAUGACGGCCUUCGGGUUGUAAACCGCUUUCGCCUGUGACGAAGCGUGAGUGACGGUAAUGGGUAAAGAAGCACCGGCUAACUACGUG